UACGUAGGGACCGAGCGUUGUCCGGAAUCAUUGGGCGUAAAGAGCGUGUAGGCGGCCACUUAAGUCCUGCGUGAAAUCUUGCGGCUCAACCGCAAGCGGUCGUGGGAAACUGGGUGGCUAGAGUGCGGGAGAGGAGAGUGGAAUUCCUGGUGUAGCGGUGGAAUGCGCAGAUAUCAGGAAGAACACCCGUGGCGAAGGCGGCUCUCUGGAACGUAACUGACGCUGAGACGCGAAAGCGUGGGGAGCAAACAGG
RNAcentral lists this ribosomal RNA (253 nucleotides) under uncultured bacterium. RNAcentral's name for it is "partial 16S ribosomal RNA". It matches the Rfam family "Bacterial small subunit ribosomal RNA", at positions 524 to 776 of the family's 1533-position model. The record is from RNAcentral.